RNAcentral lists this long non-coding RNA (3260 nucleotides) under Mus caroli (Ryukyu mouse). RNAcentral's name for it is "lncRNA (MGP_CAROLIEiJ_G0003878.1)". Lineage: Eukaryota; Metazoa; Chordata; Mammalia; Rodentia; Muridae. The record is from RNAcentral.
CCAGAAGCCUUGGCACUGGAAGCCGUGUGUGUGAGUGUGUGUGUUUGUGUUUCUGUGUGUCUCUCAGUGUGUGUCUGUGUGGAGUAUGUGUCUGUGUGUAUGUGUCUGUGUGUGAGUGUGUGUCUGUGUCUGUGUGAGUGUGUGUGUCUGUGUGUGUAUCUGUGUGUGUCUCUGUGUUAGUAUGUGUCUCUGUGUGAGUGUGUGUGUCUCUCUGUGUGUGUGUCUUCCAUCGCUGCCACCCCGCUGUUCCUGUCUAGAGAUUCGGGCCUCCCAGGCCAGGAGGAGCAGAAGUCCCAGGACUGAUGCCACUCGAAGUUCAUUGGAUCCACACCAUUCAGUUAAGAGUGUCUGGAGAGGAGGUGAGGCAGAGGAGGUGGGCAGAGCAUGUCUGCAUCUGUGUUUCCCUGGGAAUAGUGAGUCAAACAGACACAGGAAUGUCCUUCGCACUGGGAGAGAUGGGAGGCCUCUCAUUGGGUAACCUUCCCUAUGUGCCUGUCGCCCCAUUUAAGGUAGUUGCUUUGAUCCUAGCCUUGUGUGUAUCCCUGUUAGAACAAAUAUGGAUGUGUGGAUGGGCCCAUUAAAGCCUGAAUGUAGUGAGAAUAAAGGUCACAAAGAACUCAAUUUUCACCCCCUUUUCGGAAGUUCUGUGACCAUUCUGUAACUGUUCAGAGCUGGCAGCUUUGUAGAGACAAGCAUGCUUGCUAGAACUGGUCCUCAGAGAAAGUACAUUCUUAGCGUGGCUAGGCUGUGGGUCAGUAGUGGAUAGAAGAGUCUAAAUCCAAGGGGCAGGAAGCCUCCGGCAGAAUUAUACCAGAGAGGCUGGAAUCCAGGGUCCCUUAAACUAAAGCCAGGCUGAGCUCCUCUGGUGUGUUUGCAGCUAUGUGCGGACUUGGGCAAACUGGAAAGCUGUUGAUCCUGGCUUCAUGAGGUACACAGUCUGGUGACGAACCAGAUUCUGAGUCAGUAAGUCAGGGAAGCACAAGCCUUGUGGUGUGUGGUCAUAUGUUUGUGUGUAUGUGUGUUGGAGGGUACUAGUUACGGUUUGGGUUUAGAGGGAGCCUCUUCAGGGAAGUUUUCUUCUGGCUGAUAUCAAAUGGAAACCAGAUGGAGUGGAGUCUGAAAAGCAGAUAUGUGGAGCCUGGAUCAGUAGAUGCUGAGAUCCUGUGUUGAGUCAUGGGAGAAAUAACAGCCACAGCUGCCAUCCUUAAGUCAACUCAGAGGUCACUUCCUCCUCAUCAGGGAAGACCUCUGGAUCAGCGAGGCCCCCACUUACUCACUCAGCUGGCAGAGCAACGCUGACCCCUUGGAGAUCCAGUAAUCACUGAUCCUCUUGGAGGGUAUGGGGACAGGCAUUUUUGUCUUCAGUGUGUAACCAUUCUGUGCAGCAAGUCACUCUUCGGAAGUUCUUUCCCUUCUGUGGCUGUCUACGGGGCCAUUGAGAAGGAGAUGGUGCCCUCGGAUGCCGAUGGCUCCUUCUGCACUGCUCUCUCAGAUUCCAUCAGUGUGGGAUGGACAUCAGGGAAGGCAGCCUCGGACCCAGCAGAGGGUGCCUCUACCUUUUCACCUUUCCGGUCCAUUGAGUUCCUGGCUUUCCAGUGCCACAGCAUGGCAAGCCGCUCUAGACAUCUUUCCUGUGUAUUUACUGGUUUUAUGCAGUCCAGAAAUUUGUCUCCAUGCUUCUAUGGGUGCCCGCCCAAUGCAGGCAGUCAGUGCCUGGAGUAUGUGAGAGGCCUUCCCUAGGUCUGGAGGAAGACUCAGGACACAACUAAACCCCUGCAUCCACUGACUGGGUUUAAGCAGAAUCAAUUCUCUGUUGGCCAUAAAUGAGUGUAGCUGCCUUCCAAAAUCCCCUCCCCCUCAAUCUCCCGGCGCCCUCCUAAGGGAUUUACUGUCCAGUCUGCUUGGCUCACAGUUAGACAAGAAGCACCUCCAAGGGGUAGAUGAUUGGGACAGAUGUGUGUAUGUCUCAUGUCACGUGUCCUACGCCGACAUCCUGGAGGGCUGAUGUCAGAGGUCUCGUGCUUCUGACAAACAGGAUGGCCAUGACACACGUGCUGUGUACUGGACUGUCGUUCAAGAAAGCAAAGGCUGGCUGCUUACUACAGAGGGAUGGAGCAUGACUGGAAGGUUAAGGACAGUGCUGGGCAGGCAUAGACAUGUGAAUCUCUAUGAGCUGGAGGCCCAGCUUGGACUACGUGGCAAGUUCCAAACUGCCAGGGCUACGUAGUGAGACCGGCUCAGAAUGGAUGGAUGGAUGAAUGAGAAAGAAAAGGAUGCAGAAAUAAAGGCUGUGUUCCCACAGAAGGGAUUUAAUGGGCUUUAGAACUACAGAGCCUGCUCACCAAAGCUGCUGUCUGCAGGCAGGACCAGGGCCUGCACCGCAGGGGCUUAGCUGAACUUACUCUGGGGAUGGAGUGUUCAUCACAAUGGGAACUUGCUUUUGUCCUUCCUCAUGCUGCUACAGUUAACAAGAGACUUGGACCACCUUUAAUUCAUUCAGCUUGGCUUGAAAACAGUACUAUUGUGUUGUUCUAAACCAGACUGAGAAAUUGUUAGAGUGCUCUCAGAGGUUAGCUGGGUUCACUGUUCAUGUUUGAUCACGCUUAGCUUUUCUUUUUUUGUGGAAAAAAAAUUAAAGCAUAAAUGGUCCUUCCUUAUCCAUCUCAUGAUACACACUUCGCAUGCCUUGUAGAUUAUUUUGAAGAAAUAUUACGUAAAAACUUUUGCUGCAUCUAUUUUGGUAUGUGUCUCUAAAUCCUUACUAUUAAAGGCACAAAUAUCAUAGCUAAAAUAUUACUUUCUAAGAGCUGUUCAAAUUUUUCUAGUGUGCAUACAUACAUGUAUAAACUCAUUAUACACACACACUGUAUGUACAUAUAUGCAUAUAUAUAUAUAUAUAUAUAUAUAUAUAUACACAUAUAUAUGUAUAUGUUAUAUUGGUACUUGACAGUUACUUAGAUUCAGAGUUUAAAUAAGGGCCACACUCCACAGCAAUGAUGUGUAUCCUAAAUCACCUUUAACAAUAAAUUAAAAUUGUAACUAUAAAUCUGCCUCUUUGCCACCCACUACAAUAUAUUUGUUGACACAAACAGGUUGGUUCUACUAGGAGUCCCAGAAUCUCCUAUCUUUGUGAAGGAAGGUUUAGGCUCAGGUUUAAACGCCCUCUUCUGGCCAAAAGACGCUACCACAUUUACUCACAUGUAUACUAUUACAUAAAAUAAAAUGUACACUAUUACAUAAAAAUAAAAUUUUAUAUUAAA